GGCGGCGCGCUUAACACAUGCAAGUCGAGCGAGAACCAUGGCUUCGGCCAUGGGGACAGCGGCGAACGGGUGAGUAACACGUGGGUAAUCUGCCCUCGACACUGGGAUAGCCCGGGGAAACCCGGAUUAAUACCGGAUAGCCUUUCGAGCUCUCGGGCUCGUCAGAAAAGAUGGCUUCGGCUUUCGGUUGAGGAGGAGCCUGCGGCGGAUUAGCUUGUUGGUGAGGUAACGGCCCACCAAGGCGACGAUCCGUAGCUGGUCUGAGAGGACGAUCAGCCACACUGGGACUGAGACACGGCCCAGACUCCUACGGGAGGCAGCAGUGGGGAAUCUUGCGCAAUGGGCGAAAGCCUGACGCAGCGACGCCGCGUUGAGGGAAGAAGGCCUUCGGGUUGUAAACCUCUUUCAGGAGGGACGAA
RNAcentral lists this ribosomal RNA (419 nucleotides) under uncultured Actinomycetes bacterium. RNAcentral describes it as "bacterial SSU rRNA". It matches the Rfam family "Bacterial small subunit ribosomal RNA", at positions 38 to 449 of the family's 1533-position model. Lineage: Bacteria; Bacillati; Actinomycetota; Actinomycetes. The record is from RNAcentral.